ACCUCGUUAGCUUAGUUGGUAGAGCAACAGGGCGUAAACCUGAUCGACCUGGGUUCGUAUCCCAGUCGAGGUU
Molecule: non-coding RNA, 73 nt
Organism: Henosepilachna vigintioctopunctata
Lineage: Eukaryota; Metazoa; Arthropoda; Insecta; Coleoptera; Coccinellidae
Source: the annotation of a GenBank genome assembly